Long non-coding RNA from Drosophila guanche, 964 nucleotides. RefSeq lists it as uncharacterized. Lineage: Eukaryota; Metazoa; Arthropoda; Insecta; Diptera; Drosophilidae. The transcript is spliced from 2 exons. The record is from RefSeq and is a predicted model, not a curated record.
UAAUUAGCGAUCAGCUGCUCGCAACAAGCAAAGAAGAUUGCGAAAAUGGGAAAAAUUGUUUUUGCCUUCCCAAAGAAGAGAGCGCGAAAAACCCGUGGCCUCCUCGCCUCUCCUCCCCUCCUCUGUGUAUGGAGCGGCGCCCAGCGACUGGAUUCCGCGCCGGGAGACUCACCCUGAACGCGUGUGUCGGUCUGGCUCGGCAGUUUCACGCACAUAUAUAAGCAUUUGUGUGUGUGUUUGUAUGUAUGUGAUUCUGUAGAGGCAACAAAUAAAAGAUUGCAUGUGCCCCACAAUGCAGACACAAACAGAUUCACAGACAUUGCAUUGAGUCGCGUCGCCAAAUGAAUAGACAAAUAUGUAUACACACACGCAGACAUAUGCGAGAGUGCCUGUGUGUUGGUGGAGCUCUAUGCAAACACAGAUACACACACUGACACACACUGACACACACACACACACACAUAGUCAUAGACCAAAUGCAGCGCCAACGUUGGUGGAGGCAAAGGCAAAGCGCGCCAACAAAAUGCGAAAACUGGGACAAAGUUGAACAGACGAGCCAAGGACGGAUAUUAGUGCGACGCGGCGCGGUGCGGCUCGGUGCGGCGCGAGCAGUUGCAUGAUGAAGCGACGACUGCUGCAGCAGUCAGCAGAGACGCCCGCAGAGAGGAGGCGAAGUUGGCAGCGAAAAAGUGGAAAACAAAAUGAAUGUUUUCUGCUGCUCCGGCAGUUGCUGUUGGUUUGGUCCAACAGCAUAUACAGUGGGCGCUCAAUGGGAUUGAGAGUAGCCAAAAAGGAUUUAAAAUUGAUUAAGAGCAAAACAGACUAUGAAGAGGAGAUAUGUAAAAUAAUAUUGUAUAUUGGAAUGAACUGAUUAUCUUAUAGGUUACCCUUGAAGUUGAAUGCAGCAACCUGUCGCGUACUGAUUAUUAAUCCUUAAUUAAUUUAUCAAACAAUUUCAAAGUAA